This 253-nucleotide ribosomal RNA is filed under the name uncultured bacterium. RNAcentral's name for it is "partial 16S ribosomal RNA". It matches the Rfam family "Bacterial small subunit ribosomal RNA", at positions 524 to 776 of the family's 1533-position model. The record is from RNAcentral.
GACAGAGGGGGCAAGCGUUGCUCGGAAUUACUGGGCGUAAAGCGCGUUCAGGCGGUUUGGCAAGUCGGGCAUGAAAUCUCUCGGCUCAACCGGGAGAGGUUGUCCGAUACUUCCAGACUUGAGGGCAGUAGAGGGUGGUGGAAUUCCGGGUGUAGUGGUGAAAUGCGUAGAUAUCCGGAGGAACACCAGUGGCGUAAGCGGCCACCUGGACUGCACCUGACGCUGACACGCGAAAGCUAGGGGAGCGAACGGG